Molecule: long non-coding RNA, 1696 nt
Organism: Syngnathoides biaculeatus (alligator pipefish)
Lineage: Eukaryota; Metazoa; Chordata; Actinopteri; Syngnathiformes; Syngnathidae
Exons: 2
Source: RefSeq, a predicted model, not a curated record
GUUUAUUUCCAAGACGUUUUUCUCAUUUUAAUUAAAGAGUUUUUUUUUUUGUGUGUGUGUGUGUGCUUCGUCUACUGAAUCUAUUUUCCUGUUCAAGUUUCCUUUUCACUAAAGCGAAGAUUUCAGCGAGCGGGAACUGACCGCAACCUUGUGCCGGAAUGUUCCACAGAAUCCAUCAUCAUCAUCAUCAUCGUCGUCGUCAUCAUAUGCAACAAAUCAACAAAAAGUCAAAUGGUUAGUUCCACUUUUCUAUGUUAUUGAAAAUAAAUUACGUGGUACAAGCCGUUUGCUAAUCGCUCUAAAGUGGAAUGCAAAACAAACAAACCCCCCAAAAAAGAGAUGGAACGCUCACACUGCGAGAUAAAAAAAACAAACAAAAGAAAAAAGAAAUCUAAUGUCUCUUAUGUACAACAGCAAGCAUGUUUGAAACUAUAAAUUAAUCUGACCAAAGAUCAUCACGGCGACAACAAAAAGUCCAGCUUGGAAAGAAAGAAAGAAAGAAAAAAACCCCAAAAGAUAAAAAGAAAAAAUCCGAUGAGUCGCCGUUGUCGUGGCUUUUCAAACGGAAACGUCGGACAAGUUGCUCCUCGACAGGCUUCUUUUUGGUUUGUUUUGUUUUGUUUUUUUUAAUGCCAAAUAAAUUCACUUCGAGAAGAAAAGGUGAACGUAGCCGUCGUUAACGCGAUCAAAUUGUUGACUUCCGAGCUUGCAGAAGAAGAAGUUGACGUGAGCACUUUUGGGUGGCGUCAGACACGUUUGGAAAUUGUUGCUUUUGAAUUUGGCUUCUUUGGGGACACGCCACACUUUCAUGUCGCUGAGAUGCCAAUGUUAGCUAGCUAGCGAUAAUUCCAACGUUAAAACGCACUUUUGCUUGACACGUUACAAAUACGAGGGCUCGUUUUUUUGAAAUUCUUCUUGGAGGUGGCACCUUCAAAUCUAUCAUCAAAUCGUGAAUUCCAAAUUUGCUAAAAAUCGUCAAAAGAUUCUCAACGUCCGUCCAGAAGUGCGUAAAGCAAGCAAGGACUUUCAUGUUUUACGCUUGAACAUUUCCUUGGCCUCGUUUGAGAAAAAAAAAGACCAAACUUUUGAUGGGGAUUUUUGUCAAAUAUCAUAACGCACAGUGCAGCACGUACGUCACAGAAUGUUUAAAUGUAGUUCGCAUCGUGGCAAUGACGAGAAUUUGUACAGAACGCGUUGACAUCUUUUUCGUACGCUCGCCGUGCGCGACUCGGCUGCCGUGUUCCUUUCAGCUGUUAUUUUGCGUUUCAAAAAUCAAAGCGGGUCAUUGGUUGCUAGCAUUCUUCGGAUAUAUUUUGGCGGAAAAAGUUUUGUGAGCGCGCUUGGUCGACAUGUUCCGUGCAUGAUACGAUUUUUUUUCUUUUUUUACUUGAAAUUUGAUCAAAUAAAAUCAUGAAGAGUGAAAAUAUCCUAGCUAGCGCUCGAAAAUAAUGGCUAACAAGCUAGCUGCUUUUGAUGCCGUUACGUAAGGCUAAAGUUGAAUUAUGUCAAUUCGUGUCCUUUUUUUAGCGUAAACUUUUUCAACAAGGCAACAACGUGCAAAACAUCGCUGAAGUUAGCUAGGGGGCGACGUUGAGCGAGGAGACGGAUCAUCGGGCUCUCCAAUCGGAGAAAAGGAAGAAAAAAAAAAGGUAGCUUGAAUAAAAACACUCUCACCAUAGGGAAAGCUUUGACACAG